RNAcentral lists this long non-coding RNA (212 nucleotides) under Glycine max (soybean). RNAcentral's name for it is "long non-coding RNA (GMAX_LNC001632)". The record is from RNAcentral. Lineage: Eukaryota; Viridiplantae; Streptophyta; Magnoliopsida; Fabales; Fabaceae.
UAAUAGUAAUUCGAACUUUUGAAAGAGAAAUGAAAAAAAUGUUGUUCUUGGAGAGAAAUAAAAACUGAUAAGAAUAUAAUGUAUUAUUGAAAAUUUUCUCUUAAAGUGUUACAAUACAAUUCCUUUCAUACAAAUCAAGACAUAAAUGAUGCUCCCUUAUAACUAUCACUCUCCACAUUUAAUUAUCUGUCAUAACAGAUUUUCAACUAUUA